AGCGAACGCUGGCGGCAGGCCUAACACAUGCAAGUCGAACGAACCCUUCGGGGUUAGUGGCGGACGGGUGAGUAACACGUGGGAACGUACCUUUAGGUUCGGAACAACACAGGGGAAACUUGUGCUAAUGCCGAAUGUGCCCUUCGGGGGAAAGAUUUAUCGCCUUUAGAGCGGCCCGCGUCUGAUUAGCUUGUUGGUGAGGUAAAGGCUCACCAAGGCUACGAUCAGUAGCUGGUCUGAGAGGAUGAUCAGCCACACUGGGACUGAGACACGGCCCAGACUCCUACGGGAGGCAGCAGUGGGGAAUCUUGCGCAAUGGGCGAAAGCCUGACGCAGCCAUGCCGCGUGAAUGAUGAAGGUCUUAGGAUUGUAAAAUUCUUCACCGGGAAGAUAAUGACGGUACCCGGAGAAGAAGCCCCGGCUAACUUCGUGCCAGCAGCCGCGGUAAU
This 449-nucleotide ribosomal RNA is filed under the name uncultured bacterium. RNAcentral's name for it is "bacterial SSU rRNA". It matches the Rfam family "Bacterial small subunit ribosomal RNA", at positions 29 to 524 of the family's 1533-position model. The record is from RNAcentral.